This 492-nucleotide ribosomal RNA is filed under the name uncultured bacterium. RNAcentral describes it as "partial 16S ribosomal RNA". It matches the Rfam family "Bacterial small subunit ribosomal RNA", at positions 29 to 507 of the family's 1533-position model. The record is from RNAcentral.
AGUGAACGCUGGCGGUAGGCCUAACACAUGCAAGUCGAACGGCAGCACAGUAAGAGCUUGCUCUUACGGGUGGCGAGUGGCGGACGGGUGAGGAAUACAUCGGAAUCUACUUUUUCGUGGGGGAUAACGUAGGGAAACUUACGCUAAUACCGCAUACGACCUACGGGUGAAAGCAGGGGAUCUUCGGACCUUGCGCGAUUGAAUGAGCCGAUGUCGGAUUAGCUAGUUGGCGGGGUAAAGGCCCACCAAGGCGACGAUCCGUAGCCGGUCUGAGAGGAUGGUGAGCGACACUGGAACUGAGACACGGUCCAGACUCCUACGGGAGGCAGCAGUGGGGAAUAUUGGGCAAUGGGCGCAAGCCUGAUCCAGCCAUACCGCGUGGGUGAAGAAGGCCUUCGGGUUGUAAAGCCCUUUUGUUGGGAAAGAAAAGCAGCAGGUUAAUACCCCGCUGUUCUGACGGUACCCAAAGAAUAAGCACCGGCUAACUUCGUG